AAAAUAGUUUAAGGCCCUUCGAUUUGGAAGCCGCAAAAACAAGUUUCUUUUUUCUCUCCCUCUGCACGCGUAGCAAGCUCAGUCUCCGGCAGAUCAUCACGCUCGUCUCCGUUUCUCAGGUUAUUGUAGCUGAGGAGUUGAGGUUGAAGGAGGAGAAAGGAGCAGAAACGGUAAAAAGGAGAAAUGGAGUUCAGAUCUGAAGCUAAUAGUAUAAAGGACCAAUUGUAUGCAAUAGUUGAGAAGAUUGAGGCCCUUAACAGCAAGCUGGAUGGAUUGAAUGCUGCUAGAGAAAAAAAUAGGAUUAGAAAUCAGCAUGAGAUAGUCUACAUAAUUGCGCAUCAGAAGACUAUGAAAAAAACCAUUGCUGGACUUCAAUACAGAAUCCAAGCCCACGACCUCCAAAGUUACAUUGAAUUUUCUGAUGAUAACAAGAAUGGAUUAUAACAUUGCUGUUCUUUUUAAUUCUUAAAAAUUGGAGAGUAGAAGCUGC
Molecule: long non-coding RNA, 490 nt
Organism: Argentina anserina (silverweed cinquefoil)
Lineage: Eukaryota; Viridiplantae; Streptophyta; Magnoliopsida; Rosales; Rosaceae
Exons: 2
Source: RefSeq, a predicted model, not a curated record